This 442-nucleotide ribosomal RNA is filed under the name uncultured bacterium. RNAcentral describes it as "partial 16S ribosomal RNA". It matches the Rfam family "Bacterial small subunit ribosomal RNA", at positions 338 to 795 of the family's 1533-position model. The record is from RNAcentral.
CCUACGGGUGGCAGCAGUGGGGAAUAUUGGGCAAUGGGCGCAAGCCUGACCCAGCAACGCCGCGUGACGGAAGAAGGCUUUCGGGUUGUAAACUUCUUUUUUCAGGGAAGAGUAGAAGACGGUACCUGACGAAUAAGCCACGGCUAACUACGUGCCAGCAGCCGCGGUAAUACGUAGGUGGCAAGCGUUGUCCGGAUUUACUGGGUGUAAAGGGCGUGUAGCCGGGUUGACAAGUCAGAUGUGAAAUCCUGCGGCUUAACCGCAGAAUUGCAUUUGAAACUGUUGAUCUUGAGUACUGGAGAGGCAGACGGAAUUCCGAGUGGAGCGGUGAAAUGCGUAGAUAGUAGGAGGAACACCAGUGGAGAAGGCGGUCUGCUGGACAGCAACUGACGGUGAGGCGCGAAAGCGUGGGGAGCAAACAGGAUUAGAUACCCGUGUAGUC